GGGGGGAGGCCGGAUCCUGGGCUGUGUCCCGGCGCCCUGUGCUCCGGAGCCUGCACUGUUGGAUUCGCGCUCCCGCCCCGCAGCCCCCU
Molecule: microRNA precursor, 89 nt
Filed under: Nyctereutes procyonoides (raccoon dog)
Lineage: Eukaryota; Metazoa; Chordata; Mammalia; Carnivora; Canidae
Description: mir-8799 microRNA precursor family
Rfam family: mir-8799 microRNA precursor family
Source: Rfam by way of RNAcentral